CAGUCGCCACGGGAAUACGGAGGGUGCAAGCGUUAAUCGGAAUUACUGGGCGUAAAGCGCACGCAGGCGGUCUGUCAAGUCAGAUGUGAAAUCCCCGGGCUUAACCUGGGAACUGCAUUUGAAACUGGCAGGCUAGAGUCUUGUAGAGGGGGGUAGAAUUCCAGGUGUAGCGGUGAAAUGCGUAGAGAUCUGGAGGAAUACCGGUGGCGAAGGCGGCCCCCUGGACAAAGACUGACGCUCAGGUGCGAAAGCGUGGGGAGCAAACAGGAUUAGAUACCCCUGUAGUCCCUGUCUCUUAUAC
Molecule: ribosomal RNA, 301 nt
Filed under: uncultured bacterium
Lineage: Bacteria
Description: partial 16S ribosomal RNA
Rfam family: Bacterial small subunit ribosomal RNA
Source: RNAcentral